Molecule: long non-coding RNA, 540 nt
Filed under: Capra hircus (goat)
Lineage: Eukaryota; Metazoa; Chordata; Mammalia; Artiodactyla; Bovidae
Description: lncRNA (ENSCHIG00010016954.1)
Source: RNAcentral
ACAUGAAAUUCACAGUAUGUUGUUAUACUCACACUUAAAAAAUAUAGGAAUUUGCAAAUUGAUGUAAACAUACAUUACUUCCAAGAACAUCUCUCCCUUUCUCCCUGGAGGAAAAAGAAGAGAGUCAUCCAAGCAAGGCAACCCCUUCCGAGUAACUUCAACACAAAGGGUGUGGGUCCUCUCUAAAUGAAACAGCCGUUCAUCUGGCCUGGGAGCCACAGCGGGAACACAGUGAAUGACAGCAAUGACAAGAGCUUGACUUCAGAGGGAACUGGACGACUGAGAACUGAGUUUCCAGAAGGAAACGCGCUCCUCACCGAAGCUGCGCGCUGGACCAGCAUGGCUGGUGAACAUCCUCUCCAGUGUGAAGCAACCCAGUGCAGGGCUGCUGUGUCCACUCUCCAGGUGCGCAGGAGCACUCUGAUUUCAUCUCCGGGGUCCUAUCCACUUCUUCCCACACUGCAACUGUCCAGAUUAUUCGAGGUACCCUGCUGCUUACCCACUUAAACUACUUUUCAAGUUGAUUAGAAAAACUUUUAA